AUAAUCCAAUAUUUUAACAUUUGUUUCAGUUUCUGAUGUUUCUUCUGAUAGCUCAGAUGAUGAACCCAUCAUCAAGAAAAAGAAAUCACCUCCUUCGGAUGAGGAGUUACAUGAAGACGUGAAGAAAAUUCUGGAAGGUGCCAACCUAGAAGAAGUCACUAUGAAAACUGUUAUAAAGCAGGUAUAUGCAAAAUAUCCUGACUUUGAUCUCACCCAAAGGAAAGAAUUCAUUAAAUCAACUGUAAAACAGAUCAUUUCCUGAGUUGUGUGUUGUAGUAUUGUAUUAUAUAAAGCUGGAUGGAAGAUUUAUCAAUCACAUCUGUGUAUGAUGAGAUUGGGUGGACGGUUGGGCCAGAUGGGGGGUAGGGAGUAGGGUGGGGAGUGUGGGAAGGGUAUCAAGCAUUUCAUUGUCCCCUUAUCUCAUCAUGGCUCUAUAAUAUUUCACUCAUUCUCCCCACCUCUUUUUAUUUUUCUAUCUCUCUCUCCACAUAUUCUACAUUUUCAUUGUAAUUUUCUUUCUCAAUGGUGGUGAUGGUGUUAACAGUGAUAGAUGUGAUGACAAAGAUGACGACAACGACAACUGGCUUAUUCCAUUAUUCUACUUCAAAAUACUUGACAUUUUGUGGGGUGGAGUGUUUAUCCCCCCCCCCUACUGUAAGUAUUCUAUCUUCCCCAUACACACACACACACAUAUAUACAUACAAACACAUAAGGUGGGGGAAAUUAGUGCUCAAAUACGAAAGGCAGAGUAAAGUACUCUUUUAUUAAAGCUAAAAAAGAAACUUCACAAACUGCUGCUCAGAGUUGUUUCACAUGACUAUUCAUCUGAUGGUUCUUGUAAUACACACCAGUAAUGGAAUUUUAUAAAUUGUGAGUUUAUUUAUGGAAACCAGUUCAACGAAUAAGCAUUUAAAUUUGAUUGGAUAACUAAUUUUUUUUUAAAUUUAUACAUAUAUAUAUACAUGCAUUUAUACAGAAUAGGCCAAAAAGUCACAAACCAAAAUUAAAACUCAUUUAAUUAUAUUACAUAUUUCAAAGACAACACGUUUUUAUUUAAUUACAAAGCCAA
Long non-coding RNA from Octopus sinensis (East Asian common octopus), 1069 nucleotides. RefSeq lists it as uncharacterized. Lineage: Eukaryota; Metazoa; Mollusca; Cephalopoda; Octopoda; Octopodidae. The transcript is spliced from 4 exons. The record is from RefSeq and is a predicted model, not a curated record.